CGCUAGAGUAACACGUGAGUAACCUGCCCUUAACUCUGGGAUAAGCCCUGACUAGCACUGCAUUGGCAUAGGUCUAAUACCGGAUAGGAGCGUCCACCGCAUGGUGGGUGUUGGAAAGAUUUAUCGGUUUUGGAUGGACUCGCGGCCUAUCAGCUUGUUGGUGAGGUAAUGGCUCACCAAGGCGACGACGGGUAGCCGGCCUGAGAGGGUGACCGGCCACACUGGGACUGAGACACGGCCCAGACUCCUACGGGAGGCAGCAGUGGGGAAUAUUGCACAAUGGGCGAAAGCCUGAUGCAGCGACGCCGCGUGAGGGAUGACGGCCUUCGGGUUGUAAACCUCUUUCAGUAGGGAAGAAGCGAAAGUGACGGUACCUGCAGAAGAAGCACCGGCUAACUACGUGCCAGCAGCCGCGGUAAUACGUAGGGUGCGAGCGUUAUCCGGAAUUAUUGGGCGUAAAGAGCUCGUAGGCGGUUUGUCGCGUCUGUCGUGAAAGUCCGGGGCUUAACCCCGGAUCUGCGGUGGGUACGGGCAGACUAGAGUGCAGUAGGGGAGACUGGAAUUCCUGGUGUAGCGGUGGAAUGCGCAGAUAUCAGGAGGAACACCGAUGGCGAAGGCAGGUCUCUGGGCUGUAACUGACGCUGAGGAGCGAAAGCAUGGGGAGCGAACAGGAUUAGAUACCCUGGUAGUCCAUGCCGUAAACGUUGGGCACUAGGUGUGGG
This 722-nucleotide ribosomal RNA is filed under the name Micrococcus sp. AL5. RNAcentral describes it as "bacterial SSU rRNA". It matches the Rfam family "Bacterial small subunit ribosomal RNA", at positions 100 to 826 of the family's 1533-position model. Lineage: Bacteria; Bacillati; Actinomycetota; Actinomycetes; Micrococcales; Micrococcaceae. The record is from RNAcentral.